AUUGUCGUAGUCUGAGCUAUUGAAAUCUACCAGCCAAAGACCGUGAGGACACUUCUAUGUGGCUCAGAAUGAAGUUUAUUCGGCCUGGUGCAGGAAGGAGACUCCUUAGCAGAGGGAUCCUGGAGGCCUCAAUGAGAAGAGUUGAGAAGAGGACAACAUUUCACAUUUCUGGCAUUGUUACUGACAACACGGCAACUGAAAGCAAGCAUGAAUUUCUGGGAGUAGCAUUAGGGUACAAGACUCCUGCUGAGCGCACCAGUUCCUUGCUCUGCACAGCUGCCUUCUCAGCUGGGGGUUUGAAAUCAGCACUGGGAGAAAAGACCGAAAUGACCAUGACGCAUGUGCCUCUCUAUGAGAAAAGAUAGUGGCGAUUUCAUAUUGCGUGCCCACAUUCAAAGUCUACCAGACUCAAGCUGAAGAACAGGCAGUUUGUGAAAUGAACAAUGCGAUCACUUGCAGAGGGGACGUGGUGAAAUGUUCAUCAUCUAAAGCAACAAUUCCUCCCAGGGAGGCACUGUGUGAGGACUUGGGUAUCCAGCAUGUAGCAAGAAAGACAGAGCCAUAGAACUUGGUAAAGGAAACAAGUUAUACCAAGCAAACAAAGAGAGAAAUGUAGUUUCGAAUUGUGUGGCCGAAGUCCACAGAACAGGAAUCCCAGAAGGAAAAGUGCAGGCUCACGGGCAAGCCGGAAGUGAAGGGGCUGAAGUGGAACUAAUUAGUGUGGACAGUACCCACGUGUGCCUCUCAUUGCUCUCAGGCUUCUGGCUUCAGUGAAGGGCAUCCUGCAUGAGCAGAUGGUGCCUUCCUCAUGAUGAUCAGAACAUACCUGGCCCAUGUUUUGGAGAUGUUGACUCAAUACAACUGGAAGUGAAGGAACUAUUUGUUUGAAAAAAAUUCUUUUCCUCAUUUGAGACUGGUGUUAAGAAAGGUAAAACUUGGACCUGGUUGAGCAUUGUGGUGUGAUGAUACCAUGAUAUGCUAAGGACCAUCCAUGGAAGUGCAUUUGCUUGAUCUCAUAAUUUGUCCCACUUUACCUGUUUUAUGCUAUUGCUUUUUCAUAUGACUUUUCUUAAAAUCACCAAUUUUUGCAUAAAAUGUUCCUAAAGCUAUUUUUGUAAAUAGGAUGACUUUGAUUUCCUUGGUUUGGUGAGUGGUUCUGCCUAUACUUUGCAGAAAUUCUAUUCUUUAAUUCUAGGCUUUGAGGUGGAAUUGUCUGAGACAGGGUUUGCACUCUGAAAAUUUGUAAAUGAUUUACUUCUGGUGUUCAUUCUUGAUCAUUCUGACCCAUGACUUUAAACUGAUUUCCUUCUUCUGAGACAUUCACUCCUUAGGAAUAUUUAACAAAUUCCUUCAGCUAUAUGAUGGAUAACAAGAUACAUCAAAUGUUACAGAGAAUCCACUUGGUUUGAUUAAUAAUCUAUUCCUCUGAAUUGUUUGAGGAGUGGAUGCUUGUACACACUUGUUUAGAAAAAUUUUCUUUAAUUUGAAAUGAAGUACUAGCUGUUGUUAAAAUUUUGCUCAGACUGCUGUUCACAGACAUGCAUCUCUUAUCUCCUUUUCGCUAUUGAUCUGAUUAUUCCAAAUAGUGUUUUCAAUAGGUUAAGAAUAUUUUGUAAAAUGAAAUUGAAAUAUAUUUUGUAAAACUUGUUGUGUUUAUACACAAUAGUCAUUAUAUUGCUUGUAGUACUUGAAAUCACCAAAGUGGUCAAAUGCAUAAUGUUUUCAAAGGAUUUCAUAAAAUGCUUAAUCAAUAAAAUAGUAUCUGGAGAGUUCUAUUGGAAAAAUAAUUUAGAAUUCUCUACAAAGGUUCUCUCCAUGAUUAGUUUUAAUAUUUAUUGCUCUCUGAGAAGUAAUGGUAUUAUUUGCUUUCCCGUGCAUGUUUUCUCUUUAGCCAAACCUAUAAUAAGAUUUCAUAAAUGCCCUGUAUAACAAUGAAAUGUGAUUAUGAAAUCAUUUAAUGACCCAAUUAAUUUUAAAUGGAAAAGUUUUAGUUGGUUCUGAGCAUCUGUAAGGUUUGUAUCUUUCCUCUUGGCAUUCACUGAUUUCAUUACCAAGUUGUGUAAAGAUGUAGGUAUAAAUAUUUUAUGUAACCUUUUCUCUUGGUUCUGUUAUUGCAGUGUUUGAUAUUUAUUAUUUAACUUGUGAUUUCUUAUUAAUAUCUUGCAUAUUGGUUCCAGGGCUAUUGUGAUGAGAGGGAACAAAUUAAACUUACAAUGCCGAGAACUCUCUUAUUUCAGAGUUGCUUAAUUAAAACUAGUUUUGGAGACAGAAAAGGAAAUUAAUGAUUACAAUACUAUUUAACAUUUGUGAUUUUGGAGCAAUGCUCAAAAUAUUCUAAGAACUUAGGAGGAGCUGAGAGGGAUAGAAUUCCAGAAAGUAACACUUGAGCUGCAUGCUAACACUGUUAAAGUUGUAUAUGCCCAUUGAAAAGAAUUACAAAUAAGGGUAUAAAGUUAAAAAUUAACAAAAUAUAUAUAUCAUACUCUGGAGUAGAUCUUGGAGCAUCUAAUUAUAUUAGCAGAAAAACAUAAAAUCUGUGAACAGUUUGGAUAUUUUAAAGUCUUUGUGUUGAUGAGUCCAUUUCAAUGCCUUAAUAAAUAAUAUUGCAAAGGGCACUUGUCUAAAUAUAUUUAUAUAAACCUUAAAUAUAAAAGGAGUGCUUACAAUUCCAAGACAAUAGGAAUAUUAAUAUUUUCGCUGAAAAGUUGUUCUUCAAAUGAUUGUUAAAGUUUAUAAUGUAACAACAUCAUAUGAGAAUGCAUUUCCAGUCAUACUCUUGUCAAACUGGACAUUAUUGUUUAAAAAUAUUAUAUUCUGAAUUAUUCAUUUUAAUCACUUUAAUCCUUAUUUACACUUUCAGUUUCUCAUACUAGAGAAACUAUUUGGUAUUUACACAUGUAUGUCCUAUUAAGAUCUAAAGAGGUAGGGGUUCGUGGGAGGGGAAGGGGAAAGGGAAGAAGGGAAGGGAAAAAUUAUGAGAAAAGAAAAAAAUGG
This 2994-nucleotide long non-coding RNA is filed under the name Heterocephalus glaber (naked mole-rat). Its description in RNAcentral is "lncRNA (ENSHGLG00000036334.1)". The record is from RNAcentral. Lineage: Eukaryota; Metazoa; Chordata; Mammalia; Rodentia; Bathyergidae.